UCAUAGCUAAAUCUCUGUUUCUCUCUCUCUCUCUCUCUCUCUCUCUCUCUCUCACACACACACACACACACACACACACACAGAGAGAGAGAGAGAGAGAGAGAGAGAGAGAGAGAGAGAGAAAGAGAAAAG
RNAcentral lists this microRNA precursor (132 nucleotides) under Marmota monax (woodchuck). Lineage: Eukaryota; Metazoa; Chordata; Mammalia; Rodentia; Sciuridae. The record is from RNAcentral.